UAACUUAGGCGGCAUGAUCUGUCGAACCUGGUCAGGCCUUGACGGGAGCAGCCAUAAGAUAAGAUUAUGCGCGCCUAAGCCCUUA
This 85-nucleotide signal recognition particle RNA is filed under the name Coriobacteriales bacterium. Its description in RNAcentral is "signal recognition particle sRNA small type". It matches the Rfam family "Bacterial small signal recognition particle RNA". From Rfam's summary of the family: The signal recognition particle (SRP) is a universally conserved ribonucleoprotein involved in the co-translational targeting of proteins to membranes. Archaeal SRP consists of a 7S RNA and homologues of the eukaryotic SRP19 and SRP54 proteins. The record is from RNAcentral. Lineage: Bacteria; Bacillati; Actinomycetota; Coriobacteriia; Coriobacteriales.